AAAUUGAAGAGUUUGAUCAUGGCUCAGAUUGAACGCUGGCGGCAGGCCUAACACAUGCAAGUCGAACGGUAACAGGAAGCAGCUUGCUGCUUCGCUGACGAGUGGCGGACGGGUGAGUAAUGUCUGGGAAACUGCCUGAUGGAGGGGGAUAACUACUGGAAACGGUAGCUAAUACCGCAUAAUGUCGCAAGACCAAAGAGGGGGACCUUCGGGCCUCUUGCCAUCGGAUGUGCCCAGAUGGGAUUAGCUUGUUGGUGGGGUAACGG
This 266-nucleotide ribosomal RNA is filed under the name Escherichia coli. RNAcentral describes it as "partial 16S ribosomal RNA". It matches the Rfam family "Bacterial small subunit ribosomal RNA", at positions 1 to 263 of the family's 1533-position model. Lineage: Bacteria; Pseudomonadati; Pseudomonadota; Gammaproteobacteria; Enterobacterales; Enterobacteriaceae. The record is from RNAcentral. RNAcentral also lists the same sequence under 2 other names.